AGGUUCCCGACAGGAUUCGAACCUGCAAUCUUCUGAUCAUAAGUCAGACACCUUAUCCACUAACCUCUGCUC
RNAcentral lists this transfer RNA (72 nucleotides) under Cordylochernes scorpioides. RNAcentral describes it as "tRNA-Ile". Lineage: Eukaryota; Metazoa; Arthropoda; Arachnida; Pseudoscorpiones; Chernetidae. The record is from RNAcentral.